Molecule: non-coding RNA, 65 nt
Organism: Cordylochernes scorpioides
Lineage: Eukaryota; Metazoa; Arthropoda; Arachnida; Pseudoscorpiones; Chernetidae
Source: the annotation of a GenBank genome assembly
UGCCGAAACCCGGGAUCAAACCAGGGACCUUCAUUUUAACGUUCUCCCAACUGAGCUAUUUCGGC